This is a small nuclear RNA of Macaca fascicularis (crab-eating macaque), 87 nucleotides long. Its record names the gene U2. It matches the Rfam family "U2 spliceosomal RNA". Rfam says of the family: U2 is a small nuclear RNA (snRNA) component of the spliceosome (involved in pre-mRNA splicing). NCBI's taxonomy places the organism in Eukaryota, Metazoa, Chordata, Mammalia, Primates, Cercopithecidae. The record is from Ensembl.
AUUGCUUCUUGGCCUUUUGGCUAAGAUCAAGUGUAGUAACAGUAGCUAACAUUUAUUUAGCAAGUCAAUAUAUCUCAUUUAAUCCUC